UACGGAGGAUCCGAGCGUUAUCCGGAUUUAUUGGGUUUAAAGGGUGCGCAGGCGGGAGAUUAAGUCGGCGGUGAAAUUUUGCAGCUCAACUGUAAAAGUGCCUUCGAAACUGGUUUCCUUGAGUGUAGAUGAAGUAGGCGGAAUUUGUGGUGUAGCGGUGAAAUGCAUAGAUAUCGCGAGGAACUCCGAUUGCGCAGGCAGCUUACUAAACUACUACUGACGCUCAGGCACGAAGGCGUGGGGAUCAAACAGGAUUAGAUACCCGCGUA
RNAcentral lists this ribosomal RNA (269 nucleotides) under uncultured prokaryote. RNAcentral's name for it is "partial 16S ribosomal RNA". It matches the Rfam family "Bacterial small subunit ribosomal RNA", at positions 524 to 792 of the family's 1533-position model. The record is from RNAcentral.